GUCAUGUAAAAGCUGAAUGUCCAAAGCUUAAACAACAAGGGCAGAAAGAUGAAAAGAAGAAUGAAAAUCAGAAGGCUCGGGGAAGAAUGUUUCAGAUUACUACCGAGGAAGCCAAGGUUUCACCGAAUGUCGUGUCAGGAACGAAAGAAGAAGGAGCUAGUUCCGGAACACAAACAAAGGCUCAAGAUCGAGGUAAAGCACCCGUAUGAUUGUCAUUGCGUCGCUCGGAUACGAACACACCUUGAUCACCCGUGAUGCGCUUCCGCAACUUUUGUAGUAACCUUAUUAGUUAAAGGCUUUUGUUAAAGUUAGUAGUGUUGAAGUUUUAAGUUUUAACUAGAUGUUUGUGAAUAUUUAAGUAACUUAAACUCGAUUUUUUGAAACGGUAGUUUAAAUGUUAAGGUCUUUCUUAUGUU
Molecule: long non-coding RNA, 416 nt
Organism: Helianthus annuus (common sunflower)
Lineage: Eukaryota; Viridiplantae; Streptophyta; Magnoliopsida; Asterales; Asteraceae
Exons: 3
Source: RefSeq, a predicted model, not a curated record